RNAcentral lists this ribosomal RNA (112 nucleotides) under Clostridioides difficile. Its description in RNAcentral is "partial 16S ribosomal RNA". The record is from RNAcentral. Lineage: Bacteria; Bacillati; Bacillota; Clostridia; Peptostreptococcales; Peptostreptococcaceae.
CGCCCCCAGCCGUUUAUCUCACCUUUUGCACCAAGUCGUCCCCGGUGGAAUCAAUACCUGCGCUCUCUUCGUCACCACCUCCCCGUCUCGGAAGGUGCGGCUGGAUCACCUC